Long non-coding RNA from Hyla sarda, 1121 nucleotides. RefSeq lists it as uncharacterized. Lineage: Eukaryota; Metazoa; Chordata; Amphibia; Anura; Hylidae. The transcript has 2 exons. The record is from RefSeq and is a predicted model, not a curated record.
UGUUUUUGUGGCGUCUUUUCAAAUAUUGUGACUGUUCCUAGGCUUAGGCUGGGAUUAAACACAGUUUAUAUGCCGCAUUUUUCAAAUCACACAUUGCUUUAUCUUUGGUGUCCACCCCCCAUGUCAGGGCAUGCUGGGAGUUGUAGUUUUGUAACAGGUGGACAGCCACAAGGGAUAACUGAUGCAGUAUGUCAAUCUAGGGCCAUGGUGUCUGAUCUUGAACUGGCAGCAGGAGCCACGACCACUUUAAAUCAAUGGCUGCCGGGACGUCUGACGAGUUACAUCCUACGCUGCAGACCCCAACGUCAGGGACGUCACUCGUCAGACACCAAGGCUGUUGGGGCCACAAAAUGAUAUUACAAAUACUAAGCGUCUGGUUAGGAGAAACAAAUAUAACGCACCCAUAGGGAGUAGCGCCAUUUUAAUAAAAAAUGCAAAAAAAAAAUCCCUUAGAUAACAGUCAUACAGAAUAUAUUAGAAAGCUUUUUUGAUUUUCAGCCAAUCAGAGAGCAGCACUGCUCAAAUAGAACUCCCAGGAGGUAACAGCGUGUCACACAUGUGAUGUCAUAACCAUUGUCCACCAGAGAGCAGCACUGAGCAGAUAUAACACUGCUCCUGCUCAUUCUCCAUCAGUGAGGGGCCGGUGCUGGACACUGUAGGGACGCGGGAAUGUGAAGUCAAAAACAUGACUGUGACUGAUGCACUAUUUCCAGCAUGUGGAGUAGCAUUUCCGGACUUAGAGCAAGAAGUUGGAUGAUGGCCUAGAUUUCCGGACCUACAGCAAGACGUUGGAUGAUGGCCUAGAUUUCCGGACCUACAGCAAGAAGUUGGAUGAAGGCCUAGAUUUCCGGACCUACAGCAAGAAGUUGGAUGAAGGCACAGCCCCUCGAAUCACGAACAUACACUGACACAUUGGCCCAAAUUCUAGAGGUAACCUCCUUUAGUAUGCCCAGAGGAAGGGCAGUACAGUAGCCAUGGAUUCCCUACAGGUUUCCUCCCCUCUGGAGGUUUUUCCUGUCCUGAGUUAGUUACUGUACGCUCUUUGUGAGUGAUGGGAGGUUACAUAAAUCCCUACACAAACACUUUAAUAAAUAAUAAAUAAAGUUUCCCUUUUUUUUAAA